Molecule: small nuclear RNA, 105 nt
Organism: Cricetulus griseus (Chinese hamster)
Lineage: Eukaryota; Metazoa; Chordata; Mammalia; Rodentia; Cricetidae
Source: Ensembl
GUGUUCAGUUUGACAGCACAUGUUAAAACCAACACGAUACAGACAAGAUUAGCGCAGUCCCUGUGCAAAGAUGACAUACCAAUUAACAAGACAUUCUGUAUUUUG